RNAcentral lists this ribosomal RNA (484 nucleotides) under uncultured bacterium. Its description in RNAcentral is "partial 16S ribosomal RNA". It matches the Rfam family "Bacterial small subunit ribosomal RNA", at positions 30 to 507 of the family's 1533-position model. The record is from RNAcentral.
AUUGAACGCUGGCGGCAGGCCUAACACAUGCAAGUCGAGCGGAUGAAGGGAGCUUGCUCCUGGAUUCAGCGGCGGACGGGUGAGUAAUGCCUAGGAAUCUGCCUGGUAGUGGGGGAUAACGUCCGGAAACGGGCGCUAAUACCGCAUACGUCCUGAGGGAGAAAGUGGGGGAUCUUCGGACCUCACGCUAUCAGAUGAGCCUAGGUCGGAUUAGCUAGUUGGUGGGGUAAAGGCCUACCAAGGCGACGAUCCGUAACUGGUCUGAGAGGAUGAUCAGUCACAAGGGAGCUGAAACACGGUCCAGACUAGUACGGGAGGCAGCAGUGGGGAAUAUUGGAGAAGGGGAGAAAGCGUGAUCCAGACAUGCCGCGUGUGUGAGGAAGGUCGUCGGAUUGUAAAGCACUUUUAGUUGGGAGGAAAGGCAGUAAGUUGAUACCUUGCUGUUGUGACGUGACCAGCAAAAUAAGCACAGGCUAACCUCGUG